Molecule: ribosomal RNA, 406 nt
Filed under: uncultured bacterium
Lineage: Bacteria
Description: partial 16S ribosomal RNA
Rfam family: Bacterial small subunit ribosomal RNA
Source: RNAcentral
AUUGAACGCUGGCGGCAGGCCUAACACAUGCAAGUCGAGCGAGCGGCGGACGGGUGAGUAAUGUCUGGGAAACUGCCUGAUGGAGGGGGAUAACUACUGGAAACGGUAGCUAAUACCCAGACCUGAAGGAGGGGAUUGCGUCUGAUUAGCUAGUUGGAGGGGUAACGGCACACCAAGGCGAUGAUCAGUAGCCGGUCUGAGAGGAUGAACGGCCACAUUGGGACUGAGACACGGCCCAGACUCCUACGGGAGGCAGCAGUGGGGAAUAUUGCACAAUGGGCGCAAGCCUGAUGCAGCCAUGCCGCGUGUAUGAAGAAGGCCUUCGGGUUGUAAAGUACUUUCAGCGGGGAGGCGUUACCCGCAGAAGAAGCACCGGCUAACUCCGUGCCAGCCGCCGCGGUAAUUC